UCGAGAAUUUUUGACAAUGGGGGAAACCCUGAUCGAGCGACGCCGCGUGGAGGAUGAAGGUCUUCGGAUUGUAAACUCCUGUCAUUGGGGAACAAGGUGCAUACGUUAACUGCGUGUGCAUUGAUAGUACCCGAAGAGGAAGAGACGGCUAACUCUGUGCCAGCAGCCGCGGUAAUACAGAGGUCUCAAGCGUUGUUCGGAUUCAUUGGGCGUAAAGGGUGCGUAGGCGGCGCGGUAAGUCGGGUGUGAAAUCUCGGAGCUUAACUCCGAAACUGCAUUCGAUACUGCCGUGCUUGAGGACUGGAGAGGAGACUGGAAUUUACGGUGUAGCGGUGAAAUGCGUAGAUAUCGUAAGGAAGACCAGUGGCGAAGGCGGGUCUCUGGACAGUUCCUGACGCUGAGAUGCGAAAGCGUGGGGAGCAAACA
This 426-nucleotide ribosomal RNA is filed under the name uncultured bacterium. Its description in RNAcentral is "bacterial SSU rRNA". It matches the Rfam family "Bacterial small subunit ribosomal RNA", at positions 355 to 774 of the family's 1533-position model. The record is from RNAcentral.